ACUUGGGUGAGAGUGGUC
RNAcentral lists this unclassified non-coding RNA (18 nucleotides) under Dictyostelium discoideum. Lineage: Eukaryota; Evosea; Eumycetozoa; Dictyosteliales; Dictyosteliaceae. The record is from RNAcentral.